Molecule: transfer RNA, 75 nt
Organism: Sulfolobus acidocaldarius DSM 639
Lineage: Archaea; Thermoproteati; Thermoproteota; Thermoprotei; Sulfolobales; Sulfolobaceae
Rfam family: tRNA
About the family: Transfer RNA (tRNA) molecules are approximately 80 nucleotides in length. Their secondary structure includes four short double-helical elements and three loops (D, anti-codon, and T loops).
Source: Rfam
GGGCCCGUAGUCUAGCCUGGUUAGGACGCUGCCCUCACACGGCAGAAGUCCCGAGUUCAAAUCUCGGCGGGCCCA